This 460-nucleotide ribosomal RNA is filed under the name uncultured bacterium. RNAcentral's name for it is "partial 16S ribosomal RNA". It matches the Rfam family "Bacterial small subunit ribosomal RNA", at positions 338 to 795 of the family's 1533-position model. The record is from RNAcentral.
CCUACGUGAGGCAGCAGUGAGGAAUAUUGGUCAAUGGGCGCGAGCCUGAACCAGCCAAGUAGCGUGAAGGAUGACUGCCCUACGGGUUGUAAACUUCGUUUAUAAAGGAAUAAAGUGAGGCACGUGUGCCUUUUUGUAUGUACUUUAUGAAUAAGGAUCGGCUAACUCCGUGCCAGCAGCCGCGGUAAUACGGAGGAUCCGAGCGUUAUCCGGAUUUAUUGGGUUUAAAGGGAGCGUAGAUGGGUUGUUAAGUCAGUUGUGAAAGUUUGCGGCUCAAACGUAAAAUUGCAAUUGAUACUGGCAGUCUUGAGUACAGUUGAGGUAGGCGGAAUUCGUGGUGUAGCGGUGAAAUGCUUAGAUAUCACGAAGAACUCCGAUUGCGAAGGCAGCUUACUAAACUGCCACUGACAUUGAUGCUCGAAAGUGUGGGUAUCAAACAGGAUUAGAUACCCUUGUAGUC